Onychostoma macrolepis is the source of this 1200-nucleotide long non-coding RNA. RefSeq lists it as uncharacterized. The transcript has 5 exons. The record is from RefSeq and is a predicted model, not a curated record. Lineage: Eukaryota; Metazoa; Chordata; Actinopteri; Cypriniformes; Cyprinidae.
CUGCAGUGAAGGGCUACUGCAUUUUUGUGACAAAUCAGGACAUAGAUGUGUAUAAUGACAAGGGUAUGACAGGUAUUACAAGGAGAAGGUGACUUUUCAGGACAUUCCCCCAUGUCCCCACUUUUCAAAACGCUUAUAAAUCACGCAGAGUGGAGUGUAUUGAAAAUCUGAAAUAGCAGAAAGUCUCCUGUAAGGGGUAGGUUUAGGUGUAGGGUUGGUGUAGGACAAUAGCACAUACAGUUUGUACAGUAUAAAAACCAUUACGCCUAUGGGAUGUCCCCACUUUUCACAAAAACAAACGUGUGUGUGUGUGUGUAAUUUAUUUAAUUUUAUUUAAUUUUUUUUUUUUUUUUUUAAAUAAUCUAAGAUGCUAGGCUACAAUCAUUACCUCAUGUUAUAUUUUUCCUGGCAAAAAAAAAAAAAUCAAUAGAUAUAAAUGUAACUUUAACUAUUUGACACCUCACGUGCAAAGCCCGCGAAAGAACCGGAGGUUAUAUAAGCUGCGGUCGUCACGUGACGCUGAGUGGACGUCGCCUGAUGGGAGAGCUUUCACGAGAUUGUCAUCCGAUUGUUCUGCUCCACAGCACAGCACAGGCUUUGGCUUUUGUGCUGGAUGGAGAAACUGAGAAGUUUAUAAACAGAAGGCAUGGAAGAAGAGAGCAGGUCCUAAAACAAAGAAAUUCUUCUUAAGGAUAAACCUGAGGUCCUGGGAGUUCUUAGAGGUUCUAAAGUGUUUUUUAUGCAUUUGUUAAUGUCAAAUUUUCAAUAAUAAAUUCAAAUAAAUUCUCAUAGUUUUUACAUUUAUAUGGUGUCAUUCUAUGGUGUGUGUAAUAUUUGUGGAAACAACAUUGUUAAAAAAAAUACUGGCUUUAAUAAUACAUUUUUUGUAGUUUUUAGAGAACCAAUUAAUUACAUGAACAGUUUUUUUUUUUCCAUGUAGGCUAUAUAUAUAUAUAUAUAUAAUAUUGUUUUGGUAAAUUUUUGUUUUGUUGUUAUUAAUUAAAUUAAUAUUGGUUUGUAUUUCAUAUACAUUUCCAUUUGGUAUCCAGACUAAUUGUAUAAUCUAUGCUGGUGUGAUUGUGGCCUGAUGCCGGCAGUGUCGGCUCAGUUUCGGCAACCGGACUCGGCCAGCGUAUUCGGGCCGAUUCUAGCGCAUCAUUCACUCCCGUAAUUCACAAGAGUCCGGCAACCGCAUCCGCA